Long non-coding RNA from Thalassophryne amazonica, 95 nucleotides. RefSeq lists it as uncharacterized. The record is from RefSeq and is a predicted model, not a curated record. The transcript has 3 exons. NCBI's taxonomy places the organism in Eukaryota, Metazoa, Chordata, Actinopteri, Batrachoidiformes, Batrachoididae.
AAAACAUCAAAUCUAGGUUUGCAUCUCAGUUGUACUUUCUGGCAAAUUGUAGCUGAACUAUUGGGUCUUCUUUUUAUGAAAAUACAAAGUAUUAU